Molecule: ribosomal RNA, 210 nt
Filed under: uncultured bacterium
Lineage: Bacteria
Description: partial 16S ribosomal RNA
Rfam family: Bacterial small subunit ribosomal RNA
Source: RNAcentral
GUUCAGAUUGCAGGCUGCAACUCGCCUGCAUGAAGUCGGAAUUGCUAGUAAUCGUAGGUCAGCAUACUACGGUGAAUACGUUCCCGGGCCUUGUACACACCGCCCGUCAAACCAUGAGAGUUGGCAACACCCGAAGUCGGUAGUCUAACCGCAAGGAGGACGCCGCCGAAGGUGGGGUUGAUGAUUAGGGUUAAGUCGUAACAAGGUAAC